GAUUAUCACAAUCUAAUAAAUAGUUUUUUGGCCAUUCAAGUUCACUAAUUACACUUUCGAUGUCACACAUCGCUGAAAAAAUAGUAUCUGAAGGAACGAUGUAGAUGAAAAUAAACUCUAACUUUUGAGGUUUUUCUGUCUUUAUUUUGAUCCGUAGAUAAAGUGACAAACACUAUUCAAAUGUAUACAAAAGUGUAAAAUUUCUUGUUCAAUAUAACAAUAUCAACAUUUGGGGUUUGAAACAAAUUUGAUUCUUGUGGGUAUUUUGGGUUCGAACUAGAUCUGAUUUUGGAAUUGUUAAGGUUGCGUCUUUGGUAUGAUGGGGUUCUCAAUUGGUUAUGUAUAUCUGAGUCAAUCUCAAAGAGGGAUGGGAGGUUGUUGAUUGGCUUUGGGUAUGUUGUUUUGGUCACUCUCAGUCAUACUAUUACCUAUCUCUAGUUAGAUGCUCAUAGGUUAUUUUAAUGAAACCCUUCUUUUAAGUGAACAAAUAAGGGGAAUUUUUUAUCAUACAAGAGCUACAUCUUCUCAAAUUUCACAGACAACUGUAACCUACUCGAUUUUACUACAACUGGCGGUCGUUUCACCUGGCAUCAUAAUAACAAUGGCCUUCACAUCAUCUCAAAGAAGCUAAAUCAGGGUCUAGAAAAUGUUGCUUGGCGCCUCGCCUUCCGAGAGGCUUUCGCUGAAGUUCUUUUAAUGCUGACUUGAUUCUUAACUGAAGCUUGGACUGGCCCUAGAUGAUCUAAAAUUUUUCCAAGUUACUCUUACACCUUACAUGGCAUCUGGAUCUCAAUUGAGUACAUUAGAUCAAUCAGCUAUGAUAAAGUCAUCUUAUACGGUCCAAAUGGUUUCGAUGUUGGUUGUGAUAUAUUGAAAAGAAAUGUUGGAGAAAGGAGUACAGCAAAGAUUGGACCUGGAUGGAUGCUAUUUAACAAGUUUAAAGGUGGGAAUGAAAUUAAAGUUGAUGUUCCUCAACAAAUUGCUCAAAAAAAAAAAAGUUUGGUAACAAAAACACUUUAAACUUCAUAUUUUAUCGAUUUCUAGAAAGUUGUGAUAUAUUAAUGUUUUCAUUUUGUUGAACCUUAUGUCCUAACACAUCCCUACAAAAACACUUUAAACUUCAUAUUUUAUUGAUUCUUUUCAUCUUCGGUGUCUGGGUUAUUGGUCCGGUAUUUGGAAACUCAAGGUACCCCAUAAGGUCAAGAACUUAGUGUGGCGUAUGCGUCGGGGAUGCUUACCGAUCUGCGCUCGCCUCCUUGACAAAUGAGUCCAAUGUCCAACCAAUUGUGCUAGUUUUCCCUCGAAUUAUAAGGAUCUCGCUCAUGUUUUUUUUUUUACUGUCCUUUUGUUGUUCAAGUUUGGAAUAGAACCGACCUCUGAGAAACUAUUCAAUCACCAUGUCAUUUACUGUUUCGGCCACUAAUACCAACGAUUGGCAUACAUACUUUGGAGCCUUUGGAAACACCGUAAUCUUAGAGUUUGAGAUGAUGCUAUGGAAGCUAGUGCUACGGUUGUUGAAUGUGCUAGGAAUUUGGUUGUUGAUUGGCAACUGGCUAAUGUUCCCGCUGCACUUGCUCAAUCUUUUCAGCAGCAGACGCAACAACCUCUUGAUGGGGGGGACUUCGGUCGUAUUUUUGGAUCCAGGUGAUAGUUCGGCUGCUGCAUCCUCCUUUGGCUGGCAGCACCCUAUGUCGGGUAGGUACAAGAGCAACAUUGAUGCCACUUUCUCUUCUCAUUUCAACUGCAACGGCAUUUCCAUUUGUGUUCGAGACUCUGAAGGUACGUUUGUUCUGGCCAAGGUUGCUAGUUAUCCUUGUCUUUAUUCAGUUGAUGUUGGUGAAGCGUUGGGGUUUGCACUCUGCUUUGCAGUGGUUGAGCGACAUGAAAUUUGAUAACGUUGUCUUUCAAAUGGAUUCCAAGAUGACGUCUGAUGCCUUUCAUGCUACUCGGGACGACACUUCUGAAUUUUGGUUUAUUAUUUCUUCAUGUCGUUCCUUAUUCAGCUCUUUCUUUACCAACUCUAAGGUGUAGUUUGUUAGGUGACAAACCAACAGGGUUUCUCAUGCUCUUGCAGAAAGAGGCCACGUUUCUUGCAAGCUUCUGGUUUCAUUAAAGACAUCAGCAUUAAGAUGCUUCAAGACUAUGAUUUCUCAGAGUUACAGAUGAAUUAUCUUACUAUUUUUAGCUUUAUUUAGUAGAAACUAUUGCCUCUGCUAAUGAGGAUUAACUCAACUAGUAGGAUUACAUUGUAUUAAUUAAAAUGUCAUUGGUCCGGUUCAUAUUAGUGGUCCUUCAUUGGCAAGUCAUUUGCAACUUAAGUACCAUUUUCAAUGGCUUGUGCCAUGCCCUGCACCAUGUACCAUGUAUAAAAAUUGUUGACUCUGCCAAUAACAAUUAGCUCAACUAGUAGGAUCACAUUGUAUUAACUAAAAGCUCAUCAUUGUAUUAACUAAAUUAUCUGUUAACCCA
This is a long non-coding RNA of Medicago truncatula (barrel medic), 2469 nucleotides long. RefSeq lists it as uncharacterized. NCBI's taxonomy places the organism in Eukaryota, Viridiplantae, Streptophyta, Magnoliopsida, Fabales, Fabaceae. The transcript is spliced from 2 exons. The record is from RefSeq and is a predicted model, not a curated record.